UGAUAGAUGGCUGCUCAUUUUUCUG
RNAcentral lists this non-coding RNA (25 nucleotides) under Rattus norvegicus (Norway rat). Lineage: Eukaryota; Metazoa; Chordata; Mammalia; Rodentia; Muridae. The record is from RNAcentral.